AACAAACGCUGGCGGCGUGCCUAAUACAUGCAAGUCGAACGGGGAAAGCUUUCGGGUGAGUACUAGUGGCGCACGGGUGAGGAACGCGUGGAUAAUCUGCCUUAGAGUGGGGGAUAACUAGUCGAAAGAUUAGCUAAUACCGCAUAAGACCACGAGAGCUGCGGCUUUUGAGGUCAAAGGUUUUUCGCUCUAAGAUGAGUCCGCGUAAGAUUAGCUAGUUGGUGAGGUAAUGGCUCACCAAGGCGACGAUCUUUAACUGGUCUGAGAGGAUGAUCAGUCACAAUGGAACUGAGACACGGUCCAGACUCCUACGGGAGGCAGCAGUAGGGAAUAUUGCACAAAGGAGGAAACUCUGAUGCAGCGACGCCGCGUGAGUGAUGAAGGCCUUCGGGUCGUAAAGCUCUGUCGCAGGGGAAUAACACAAUGAAGGUACCCUGUAAGAAAGGAUCGGCUAACUUCGUG
RNAcentral lists this ribosomal RNA (462 nucleotides) under uncultured bacterium. Its description in RNAcentral is "partial 16S ribosomal RNA". It matches the Rfam family "Bacterial small subunit ribosomal RNA", at positions 29 to 507 of the family's 1533-position model. The record is from RNAcentral.